AUGGCAUCUCCGUCGAGCACCGGCAACUCCGCCGUCUCCGUGGUGGUCGCAGCACCGACGACACCGGGGGCCGGGGCGCCGUGCGCUGCGUGCAAGUUCCUGCGGCGCAAGUGCCUCCCUGGUUGCGUGUUCGCGCCCUACUUCCCGCCGGAGGAGCCGCAGAAGUUCGCCAACGUGCACAAGGUGUUCGGCGCCAGCAACGUGACCAAGCUGCUCAACGAGCUGCCGCCGCACCAGCGGGAGGACGCCGUUAGCUCGCUGGCCUACGAGGCGGAGGCGCGGGUCAAGGACCCCGUCUACGGCUGCGUCGGCGCCAUCUCCGUGCUCCAGCGCCAGGUCCACCGCCUCCAGAAGGAGCUCGACGCCGCGCACACCGAGCUCCUCCGCUACGCCUGCGGCGAGCUCGGUGGCAUCCCCACCGCGCUUCCCGUCGUCACGGCCAGCAUCCCCACCGGCAGGCUCUCAUCCGCCGCAAUGCCGUGCCCCGGGCAGCUCGGCGGCGGCAUGUACAGCGGCGGAAGUGGCGGUGGCUUCCGGAGGCUCGGGCUUGUGGACGCGAUAGUGCCACAGCCACCUCUUUCCGCCGGUUGCUACUACAAUAUGCGGAGCAGCAACAACGCUGGAGGCAGCGUCGCCGCUGAGGUGGCGCCCGUGCAGAUCCCUUACGCCUCCAUGGCGAAUUGGGCUGUGAACGCCAUUAGCACCAUCACCACCACCUCAGGAUCAGAGAGCAUUGUGAUGGAUCACAAGGAAGGAGGCGACAGCAGCAUGUGA
RNAcentral lists this ribosomal RNA (774 nucleotides) under Triticum aestivum (bread wheat). RNAcentral's name for it is "partial small subunit ribosomal RNA". Lineage: Eukaryota; Viridiplantae; Streptophyta; Magnoliopsida; Poales; Poaceae. The record is from RNAcentral.